Lepisosteus oculatus (spotted gar) is the source of this 4337-nucleotide long non-coding RNA. RefSeq lists it as uncharacterized. The record is from RefSeq and is a predicted model, not a curated record. Lineage: Eukaryota; Metazoa; Chordata; Actinopteri; Semionotiformes; Lepisosteidae.
CAGGGGACUGGUCAUGGCUUUUUUCUUGAACCCGAAUAAAGUGGUUUAAUCUUUCAUACAAACUAUAGGGCCUCUGCUGUGCAGUAAAAGCUGAAGUGAAAAGAGAUUAUUCUGUAUACAUGUCACUUAGAAUGCAUCGCAGAUCUCAGGACUGAAGAGACUUCCACUAGAAGGCAAAACUGAAACUGAGUAAUGGAGAAGCACAAGGUAAAAUAAAAGUGCAAAAUAGAGACAUUAUUUCCACUCUUUGUAACCCUAUGAAAUACUGUUUACCAUUGUGAAUUUAUCAUGGAGACUGGAAGAGGUUACCCAGCCAUUUUGUUGAAACAGGUGCCUCGACUGCUUGCAAGAAUGAGAUCCACAGAUCAAUUAGCAGCUAGCAACCAAUUGACUUCCUAAGCUAGACUUGCUGAAUGGCCUCCUUUCAAUUGUAAGUUGUGUUCUUAUCAUAGUAUUGUGAACUUUCACAGUGGUUUUACCUUACUUUUGCUCUUCUCUACAGUUUACAUGUCUUAACCGUUCUUUCUUAUACCAGACCACAGGAUUACCAUUGUGUACUAUGACAAAUGUGCAGUAGGAACAUGUAUUAUGAACGAUAUAUCAUGAUACGUGUGUGGGUCAAUGUAUGAAUUAAGAUUGAAGGUAUUGUAUAUUAAAAAAUAUAGGAAACCACAGCAUAACUAAGGCAUACUGUACCAAUAGUAAAAGCAUUUACAGUACCACAAUGAUAUGUUAGCUGUGGCAAGAAUUUAUUGGGAUGGCACAAUUCUGUUUACAGAUUUAACAAAAACAUGAUUCUCAAAAGUUAGUGUAUUUAAUCUGUUAAAAAUAAAUGCAGGCAGAUGAUUAUAGAUAUAAAGUAAAGAUGGACGAAUUGAUCUAAAAUAGGUGUAACCUAGUUGCAUAAAAAAUAAAUACAUAGAAUAUAUAUACAGUAUAUACUGCACUGUAGCUAGCUUUACUUCACUAGGACACACAUACAUUAAAGCCUAUUUCAUCAUAACUAAUCCAAUUUCAAAACUUGUUUAAAUUCAUUGAAAAGAGAGACUGUAAAUGCAUUUCUCGCAGCAUGAAAACAAAGGAUUUAAGAAAAAAAAUGAAGAGCAUACAAUAACUUUUUUCCAAUAUGCACAUAUCUACACUUAUCUGCAUUUAGAUUAAAAUAUGACACAACGAUUAAAGACUAUGGUAUGCACUAUGAAAAACAAUGAUAAACUGUUAUGGGAAGAUUUGCAGUGUUGAUUGAUAGCUUGUGUUCCAAAAUGUGUCCUUCAGCAAAUAUACAGAAAUAUAUCCAUUUUGUCUUGUCUUCCCUAGCUCUCCAUUUGUUAACACUGGUGUCAUCUGCAGAACACAACGUCUGUCCUUGAAUCUAUCUACAGUAGUUCUCAUAAGAAAUAGAUUUCUGGGAUACAGCAUUUUUGAGAACAAGUCACUAUGAAUAAUGGAACAUAUGAAUACUAAUUAAAAGACAAUUUCACAACCCUAGAAAGCAGAACUGCCUAAAGAGACUUAUUUCUACCAUACUGUGUAUAUAAAGCUAAUUUCUAUCUGUGCAUUUAAGUAUUUAAAGAAAGCUGAACUAUAAUAAAACUCUGUUACUCUGCCUUUCUCACUUCAACCUUUCAAUUAAAAACUAUAUCCCCUUCAGCUAUUCUUCAGAGAACAAUUUCCAGUCUGAGACUUCAGAAACCAGUGAAGGCUCCCCGCAUCAAUCUAAGUGAUGUUAAAUAUCAAUAUUAUUGUGUGUUGUUACUUUCUUUUUAUAUCCUGUAUUGCUGAUUAAAUAUAAUGAGCCUCUAGGCAGGUCAAUAGACUCACUCCGUCUCAUGAAUCACAAACUGUAGCUGGCUGGAGGAGAGUAAGGCAGAUUACCAUUACUAUCCUUCCCUGGCCCUAACAAUCCCCAGAUCUCAAAAUAAUUUGACACUUAUUAUUGUGAGGUGGAGCCUAAUGGUACAAUCCUGUGCAGUAUUCUCCUCAUCACAUCUUGAAUCGAAUGAGAUUGGGUAGAAAAAUUGUCUGGAAUUGGGAUGAGCAUAUUAUACUGUAUGUGUCCUUUUCAAGUGGUUCUUUCUGUUUGUUUAGGACCAACAUGUUGCUUGAAGAGGUAUUGUUUUCAUAUUUAUGAAAUAUUUCCAUGUGCAGUUUGUAUGUUUUCCCUGUGUUCAUGUAGGUUUCCUCUAGGCACUCCGAUUUUCUCCCACAAAUCACUGAGUACUGGUAGGUAAAUUGGCUUUUGGGAAAACUUUCCCUCACGUCUGUGUGCACACGUCCCAUCCAGGGAAUAUCCCUCCUUAUGUCUAUUUCUUGCUGAGAUAGGCUCUGGCUCCCCCGUGACCCUAAAUUGGAUGAAGCAGUUAGAAAAUGGAUGGAUGAAAAUAUUAAAAUGUGGGAAUGGUGUUGCAAUUGUGGUAAUUCGAUUGAAAGAUUGAUAUUCUAUGGGAAGACAAAAGCUUGUACAAGGCGAAUGUGAUUUUUGAAUUUGCUGUGGCAUCAUGAGCUGACUCGUGCAGUGUAUGCUAAGAUUCCAUCACCACUUUGACACUCUAACUAGGUGCUGAACUAUAGGUGUGUUUUAUUGCAUUAUUAUUUCUUGUAUGAAAUAGCUCUAUAUAAUGUAAUUUUAUUAUUGUGAGAUGUUCACUUAUGUAUCUCUGUCACUCUCCGAAUAACUAUAUAUUUUAAGAAAGUGUUCAAGUUCAUUCAUAGAGUAUGUGCAGAUAAAUCCUCUAGUUUUCUAAAAAAAAUAUUUUUCACUUCACGUCUGCAUUUUCUUAUUUCACCCUAGAGUCAACAGAUGCCACUGGUAAAUAUACUAUAGGGGUGAUGAUCUCCAGCAUUCCAAGUAUAGCAGAUUUGACAAUCUACAGCAUACACCGAAAAGCUAUGCAUUUGCAAGAAAAUAAAUCACUCCGAAGCUGAAUACUGAAAUGAAUUAAAACUCAAGUCAAAUUGCUUGAAAACGGUGUAAAAGAAAUGGUGUUAAUCCAUUAGUAGAGGAUAUCAAUCUCUCCUGUUUUCCUGUGGAAGGUGAUUGGGUUUAUGUUGGCACUGUAACUGCAAAAUGUGUUUUAAUGUCCUUUUUAAUAAUAUAGUUUUUCAAUGUCCUAUCUUUGCAUUUGACAUAACAGCAUACACAGAGAAACAGGAAAAAAAAAUACUCAUAAGACAUAACUUCACACUUAGAAAAUAAAUGUAUCUAACUACUGUACAUUCACAUUAAAAUACUGUAUAUGCAGCAUUCUACAAACAUUUUUUCCCAAACCCUGCAGCACUGUGUCCACUAAAUAUCCUGUUGAUUUUAAAACUGUGAUUUUAAUAGGAUGGUUGCAAUGCAGAUAGAAUAACAAGCUGUCUUAUUAAACUUUUUUUCUCACUUAAGAGUGCUCUGUUUUGAGUACUAUAUUAGAAUAUCUUUGAUGUCAGUGCAUUAAAAGAUACUCCACAUUUCUCUCAAUUAUAAUUUACCCUUUUUCAUUUUAAAGUACCAAUUGAUCUUUAAAAUGGAUAUCAAUUUACAGCAUCAAGAAGGAAACAUGAUUGGAGUAUAUAAAAAGAUAUUCACAUAAUAUAACUCACAAGAAUAAAAUAAUAAUAAAUGUAACACACUUACACAUAUGUAGCUUCAUAUAUACAGGUUCAUGUAUUUAAUAACAGACCUUAUUAAGGAAGGGUCCUAGUCAAUUUUCUUAUCAUUUGAAAUUCAUAAUAUUCUUCAGUUCAUCAUGCAUAUAGUGUAGUUAAUUCACUAUAUUGUUUGUAAAUUCCCAAACUACUUUUUAUCGAAAGUCAAUUUAAGUUAACUUAAAAAGGUUUUCUUAAAUCAUGUUCAAAAUUCUUUCUUUCUCAAAACAUUAUUCUUUAAACUGAUCACCUACAAUUCUUUUUAGGAAAUAGGUUAGUUAUGCAUAUAAUAAGUCAUCAUAAUUAAUGCAUUUUAUAUUGCUGCCAGUAGAUUUGUAAUACUAGUAUUUAAAUUAUUUUCAUGUUAUGUCUGACCAAAUAGAACUCGUUUAUUAUUUUGUGGGCACGUACUGUAUACUGAAUGGGGUUUUCUCCAACAUAACUGGUUAUGUCCUUCUCAAGACCUAAAAAUAUUUGAGCACAAAAUGUUAUCUUAUUUACGUGCAAGAACUGACUUUAUUUGCUUACAAUUUUGUUAUAAGAAAAGAGCUUCAGCUAUUGUACAAACUGGAUAUAAGACUAGUAUUCAUAGUAAUCCUUUAAUUCAACUGGUAGGCCAAUUACAUGUUAUUAGACCUGGAAAAAAUGUAUAUAAAUUAAUCUUCAUUUGAUUUCUAAUAAAGAAAGUCAUGAAAAUGUAUAUACUGUAC